Molecule: long non-coding RNA, 4189 nt
Organism: Mesocricetus auratus (golden hamster)
Lineage: Eukaryota; Metazoa; Chordata; Mammalia; Rodentia; Cricetidae
Exons: 2
Source: RefSeq, a predicted model, not a curated record
CUCUUUGCCGCAGUCCGGGGUCAUCCAGAGUCCCCGCACUGGCUUCGUGCGUCUGCCUUACAAGUUCCCACUGCAGAAGAAGCCUGCCGUGUGGUAUUUACAGCAGUCUCAUCCCGGGCGUUAGCUGACUGUAACGUUAAUUGCAGAUGGAAGAAGCUAGGAGGAAGUGACACUUCCCAUAAACCAUUAGAGUAGCUUGCGUUAAACACCCCAGGUUGCCAACAGCCUUGGGUUAAGCAGGGACACUGCUGGACCCCUUGGGUACAAAGUGCCAGGUUGAUUAAAAAUUAAAAAAAAAGAAAACCUGGUAGAAGAGCUAGAGAGAAUGAAAUGCAAGACGGUUCUGUGUAAAGGGAUGAAGAACAGGGCUCAGACGUUUCCAAAGGACUGGGCUGGGGCCGUUUCCCACCAGCUGUCUCCAACGACGUUCUUUAGGUCUGAAUUUAGCCUGUUAGCCUAUGAGCAAAAACCAUUUCCGCCUCUGGAUCCCGAAGCAUCCUGUCCCUUUAAAAGUGAUGCAGCAGUGAGAAAGAGUAAAGUAGCUGAGCCAGCACUUUCGCAGGUAGAAGCAGCAGUCUGCUCUUCCUUCUCGCUCCUACUGCAGUCAGUUCAGUUUCCCUUUCAGCGGCGUCCCUGGCUGCCAGCCCCCCUUCUUGACUCCCAACCGCUUGCCCAUCAGGUUUCACUGCUGCUUACAUUUGGUCCUUGUCCUGCCUAGUAAGAGAAACAAUGAGCCUGCUAUCUCCCUGACCUUAUCGCAUUUUUCCAGGCACUCACCCCACUCCAGAGGCUAACCUCUUCAAGAUUGCUUCGGAGUUACACCAUAACUACAGACUGCUAUACUCAGGUUCUAGAAUGGUUUACCAGUACUCCGAUCAUUACAAUAAGAUGGUGGUGGCUUCACUUUCUAGGCACACAUGGUAUAACUAACUGGCUUAAUAACACCUGCCUGGGUGACCGGCCUUAAGAAUAAAAGAAAACACACAUAAAGCAGGCACAGACAAUAGAUGUCCUCAUGAUACUCCUCAUAUAGCCCUGCAUGCGUUUCUGCACAUGAGGCAUUCAGUAAAUUCUAGUUAGUCCUAAACUCUCUAAGGCGCUCUCUCCUCCAACUGACAUAGUCCCUCUUGUCUGUCCUUUUCCUCCCUUACCUGUAUAUUCUAUCAGGUUUGGCAUUUCUGCUAUCACUGUCAUGCAUGGGUCCAGAUUGGAGUAAAAGCAGUCAAGGGAAGCAUGACAAGGAAUGACCAUCCCAAGAGCCCACAGAUCUGUUAUGUGGAAUCCAGCAUUGUACCUACUCUCACUGCAGCUCUGCACCCUGGCUUAGACACAUGCAUGUAAGCAUGGCCUGUAUGCUGUUAAGUUCUCCACACAUUCGAAGGGACCGCUUGUUCUCUUCACCUGGUCUUGUUUCUUUCAUUAAUUUGCAAGUCCUUUAUUUGCUUCGCACACGCAUGCACACGUGUGCGCGUACACACACACACACACACACACACACAGUCAGCACGGAAGCCUUCCAUUCCCUUCUAGUGACAGUGACUGCAUAAGCAGGCUACACCUUUCACUCUCUAUUUCCACCAUUCUCCCAUCCCCAACCUACAAGCCUGCAAUCUACUCUGUGGGGUGAAAGGCAGGUGGUUUGGGUUCCCAGACUGACCUCAUGGAACAGUUUGAACUUGGUAGGGCCGGAACACUGCAGCAAGCACUGCCUUGCUUCAGUGGGGCAGACACUCCAAGGGCUUCUGUGCUGUAGCCAUUUAAGUCUCAAACCUGACUUUGUGAGUGAAUACUAUUUUGUCACUUUUUUUUUGGUUUUGUUUUUUUUUUUUUUGAGACAGGGUUUUUUUCUGUAAAACAGCCCUAGCUAUUAUAGAACUUGAUUUGCAGACCAGGCUAGCCUCAAACUCACAAAGAUCUACCUUCCUCUGCUUCCCAGGAGCUAGGAUUAAACACAUGUGCCACCAUGCCCAGCUUUGCUUAAUUUUUUCUAAGGAGGAGAUUAUGGUUUAUGAAGAUUAAGUAACACAUCUCUCACCUCAUUGCUAAAAAUGGUAAAGCCAAGUUCAGACAUCUCGGAGCCCAUGGCACAAUAAUACUUUGUAUUAUAAGAGACAUACCCUUACUGGGCAUAAUGGUGCAUACCUAUAAUCCCAGCACUCAGGAGGCUGAGGCUACAGCAUUGCAAAAGCCAUCCUGUGCUAUAUCUCAAAAACAACCAAAAAUAAACCUGGUGAGUAUGUUUUAACAAAAUAAAUAUGCAUGUAUAAAUAAUGAGUAUAUGCACUUAACAACCUGCUAUUUUGAGUGUAUGUAACACACUUAGACAAAAUAUAAAGAAUCCAGUUGCAGACAGUGUGGUAACACUCACAUUUAAUCCCAGCAUCCAGGUGGCAGAGGCAGGAGGAUCUCUGUGGAUUCCUGGCCAUCCUGGCCUACAGAGAGAGUUCCAGGACAACCAGAGAUAUACAGAAAGACAAGGAGAAGGAGAAGGAGAAGGAGUUCCAACAGGAGGGAAAAGAUAAGGUAGAGAAGCCCCCAGAAACAACUUUAAGAAAAUAAAAAUGCAGGAACCAUUUGAAGAAAUGUUUUUAAACCUCCAUUUGGACACACAAAAAAAACUUGAGCCAAUAAAAAGACAUGUGGUAUUCCUAAGUAGAAAAAAAUCUCAAUUUUGAAAAAAUAUAAUCCUUCCUUGGUAAAAGUAAAACCUUACCAUGAUCACAACAAAAGUACCAACAAAUUGUUUUAUUAGCCACAUUGAUGCUAAAAAUUUUUGACAAAAAAAUGAGAUGUUAACUUAAGUAUUUCAAGUAUUUCUAAAUUACAGUAGAUAAAAUGCAGCAUUAUCAUACAAAUAACUGGAUAGAGCAGUAGCAGUCUAUAAAUUUCUUAAAAUCUGAGUACACAUUAGGAUGUAAUAUAAGACAAGUAAUGGGGAAAAUAAACUAGUUAGUAACUGGUCUAAAGAACUGAAGCGGCAACUGGGAGAAAGAGUUUUCCUUCACACCCGAAAUGAGGUUAGAGCUCAAACAGAGAAAAGCUUAAGUGUAAGUUUAAACUGUAACAAGUGCUAAAGGAAACAAUGGAGAAAUUCCUUUACACUCUGAGUGGUAAAAGCCUUUCUAGUUUGGAUUGCAGAAUUCAAAUGUCUGAUAAAAAAUGUUGAAAAACGUAACUACACACAAAACAUAGCUACACAGAAGGAAACCAAAUUCGGUAGUUAAAAGGUGAAGUAAAACAAACUGCAUGUCAAGUUGAAGGCUAACUUUCCUGUCUAUGAACAACCUGUAAAUGGUGAAGUAUGCAGCCUCUGCUGGGCACAAUGGCACAUGCCUAGAAUCCCAGCACUCUGGAGGUAGAGGUAGGGGGAUCAGGAGUUCAAGCCUGGACAUAGCCAGUUCAAGACCAACUGGCCAGAUGAGACCCUUUUUUAAAAGGUCAAACUAAUAAUAGUAGCAGCGAUGAUGGUGGUGGUGGUAACGUAACAAUAGCGGUGAUGGUCUGGUGUCUGGCCUGAUAUGUGAGUCUGGAAGUCAUCACUCCCAUUCACAGAGGAAAAUGAUGAACGGACUGAAAAUCAGGAAUUCAUCUUAAAUCCUCAGAGAAUUGAGGUCAUGAGACAAAGUGCUGGAGAGCCAGGCAGACAUGAAGUCACUGCUUCCAAAGCAGAAGAGAGGAGAAGCAGCCUAUACCUGGAGCCAAGGUGCAGGGAUUAUCUCAGGAGAGAACAAAAACAAAAUGUAAGCGCCGGAUUACAGAGGACUUUGAAAAACAGUGUGUUCCAGAUACGACAGUGUCAUUGCACAUGAACUCACUCCACUGCGGUUGACUGCACAAGACCUGCACAUGAUCAAGCCAGCAAAAGUGUCAGCACAAAUGGGGAAAGAUGCAUGAAGUGCCAUCCAUCUCUGAUGAGCUAUUGGAAGUUGAUGUCUACGAGUGGAAGGGAAAUCUAUUUUUCUUCAGGGAUGCAUCCCCUGACAGGUUGCCCAAGUUCCAGUGAAUGGCCUUACACCCUUAAACAUGCUGGAAGUGCUAAAAAGACUCAGUGUCUCGAUGAAAAAGUGCAAUGAGCUGGGAAGGAGAAAUGGUGGGAGAGUUGGAAGAGAAGGAGUAGAGGCUGGGUUUGAUCAAAACACGUGUAUGAGAUUCUCAACCAAUAAAUUAAAAUGCAGGAUACUGACCUAGA